UUGAUCAGGUUUGCACUAUUUUGAAAAACAAAAUCCCCGGGUGAACAAAACCCCAAUGAUUCAUUUUACUUUUUCGUUCAGUGUGAUCAUGUGACCUUGAACUUCGCGAAUUUUCUGGAAUUUGUGGAAUUUUCUUCAUUUUACUCGAUAACAUCCAUUUAUAAGCACACAACUUUACAGACUUGACAUUUUGACGCGAGGAAGCAGACAAUACAGUAUAUUUGUAUAUCUGACGUUGUUAUUGGGCCUAACUGACAUAAAUAAGAGAAAAUAAUUUUAUUUAUUUUCACAACAACAACAAACUGAACUGUCAACACUUUUUGGAGAGAAUAGAGGAGAAAACUGGACUCAAAAAUUUUCUGUUUAUGUAACAACAGAUUGCUCAAAAGCUAAUAAUGGGUAAAGAUUACUACAAUAUUCUUGGCAUUGCGAAGACUGCUACUGAAGAUGAAAUCAAGAAGGCGUAUCGCAAAAUGGCGCUGAAGUAUCAUCCAGAUAAAAACAAAUCACCAGGUGCUGAAGAAAAAUUUAAAAACAUAUCAGAGGCAUACGAUGUAUUGCAUGAUAAAGAAAAACGUGGAAUUUACGACAAAUAUGGCGAAGAAGGAUUAAAAGGUGGAAUGAAUGGUGGUGGACCAAGUGGUGGGCCAACUGGCGGAAACUUCCAGUACACCUACCAUGGUAAUCCACAUGAAACAUUUAAGAUGUUUUUUGGUGAUGAAGAUCCGUUCCAAUUCUUCUCAUUUGGUGGUCAGGGUGGAAUGCCUGGAGGAACGAGCAGUAGCCGAAGGGUAUUCACUAACUUGGGUGGAGAACAUGAACAUAUGGAUACUGAUGAUGAUCCAUUUGCCAGCAUGUUCGGAGGUGGUAGACACGGUAUGGGAGGCCAUGGUAUGCCAAUGGGUGGGAUGCCUCAGUCUCAUAUCCGUAAACGCCAAGAUAAACCUAUAGUACAUGAACUGAAAGUAUCUCUCGAGGACAUUUAUAAAGGUACAACUAAGAAAAUGAAAAUAACUCGCAAAGUAAUACAGCCUGGUACUAACCAGCCUAUGGCUGAAGACAAAGUUCUGACAAUAGACAUUAAAAAGGGUUGGAAGUCCGGGACUAAAAUUACCUUCCCUAAAGAGGGUGAUCAAACUCCUAAUAAUAUACCUGCUGAUAUAGUGUUUGUGAUAAAGGAUAAACCACAUCCUACCUUCACACGAGAUGGCAGUGAUCUACGCUAUAAAGUUAAAAUAGGACUUAGAGAGGCUCUUGUUGGAACUACUCUCCAAAUACCAACAAUAGAUGGCAAAUCAAGACAACUAAGACUAUCAGAAGUAAUACGUCCAACAACUAAAAAACGCAUUAUGGGGGAGGGCCUUCCACUACCAAAACAACCAACUAAAAGAGGAGAUUUAAUCAUAGAGUUUGACAUUAACUUCCCAGAGACUUUGCCUCAAUCAACCAAAGAAAUAUUAUCAGACUGUUUACCUGUUUCACGCUAUAAUUAAGUUUUAUGCCAGUAAGGUUGGUCAAAACAUCAAUUUUUUGCAAAAACAUUUUAACAAGAGAUUAGACCCCAUCUCCAUGAAGGUUGAUUUUAAUGUCAAUUCUUGAACAGCUUUGGGUUUACUUCUUUCUAUCCAAUAUGUCUGAGCUGUUUUAUUAAAAUUUAUACAGAUAAAAAUAUGGCAUUGAUGUCUGUAUGCAAUUAUUACAUUGAGAUUUUUUAUUGGUGCUACCUAUUAUUAUUGAGUAUAAUACUAGUCCAUGUACAUUCUUACUAAACCACAUCCGUACAUGAUAUUGUAGUUCUAAAACAAUAAUUGAUCCGAUUAAACUGCCAUCUUU
Molecule: unclassified non-coding RNA, 1833 nt
Filed under: Owenia fusiformis
Lineage: Eukaryota; Metazoa; Annelida; Polychaeta; Sabellida; Oweniidae
Description: dnaJ homolog subfamily B member 13
Source: RNAcentral